Molecule: ribosomal RNA, 455 nt
Filed under: uncultured bacterium
Lineage: Bacteria
Description: bacterial SSU rRNA
Rfam family: Bacterial small subunit ribosomal RNA
Source: RNAcentral
UACGGAAGGCAGCAGUGGGGAAUAUUGCACAAUGGGCGCAAGCCUGAUGCAGCCAUGCCGCGUGUAUGAAGAAGGCCUUCGGGUUGUAAAGUACUUUCAGUCGUGAGGAAGGUGUUAAGGUUAAUAACCUUAGCAAUUGACGUUAGCGACAGAAGAAGCACCGGCUAACUCCGUGCCAGCAGCCGCGGUAAUACGGAGGGUGCGAGCGUUAAUCGGAAUUACUGGGCGUAAAGGGCACGCAGGCGGUUAAUUAAGUUGGAUGUGAAAUCCCCGGGCUUAACCUGGGAAUGGCAUUCAAGCUGGUUAGCUAGAGUCUUGUAGAGGGGGUAGAAUUCCAUGUGUAGCGGUGAAAUGCGUAGAGAUGUGGAGGAAUACCGGUGGGCGAAGGGCGGCCCCUGGGACAAAGACUGACGCUCAUGUGCGAAAGCGGUGGGGAGCAAACGAGGGAUUAGAUU